GCGGAUAUGGUGGAAUGGCAGACACCGGGGACUUAAAAUCCCCUGCUCACAAGGCGUGUGGGUUCGAGUCCCACUAUCCGCA
RNAcentral lists this transfer RNA (82 nucleotides) under Clostridia bacterium. RNAcentral describes it as "tRNA-Leu". It matches the Rfam family "tRNA". Rfam says of the family: Transfer RNA (tRNA) molecules are approximately 80 nucleotides in length. Lineage: Bacteria; Bacillati; Bacillota; Clostridia. The record is from RNAcentral.